RNAcentral lists this ribosomal RNA (866 nucleotides) under uncultured bacterium. RNAcentral describes it as "bacterial SSU rRNA". It matches the Rfam family "Bacterial small subunit ribosomal RNA", at positions 18 to 900 of the family's 1533-position model. The record is from RNAcentral.
UCUGGCUCAGGACGAACGCUGGCGGCGUGCCUAACACAUGCAAGUCGAACGGUAAGGCCCUUCGGGGUACACGAGUGGCGAACGGGUGAGUAACACGUGGGCAAUCUGCCCUGCACUCUGGGAUAAGCCUGGGAAACUGGGUCUAAUACCGGAUAUGAGUCUCCACCGCAUGGCGGAGACUGGAAAGUUUUUCGGUGCAGGAUGAGCCCGCGGCCUAUCAGCUAGUUGGUGGGGUAAUGGCCUACCAAGGCGACGACGGGUAGCCGGCCUGAGAGGGUGAUCGGCCACACUGGGACUGAGACACGGCCCAGACUCCUACGGGAGGCAGCAGUGGGGAAUAUUGCACAAUGGGCGAAAGCCUGAUGCAGCGACGCCGCGUGCGGGAUGACGGCCUUCGGGUUGUAAACCGCUUUCAGCAGGGACGAAGCGCAAGUGACGGUACCUGCAAAAGAAGCACCGGCUAACUACGUGCCAGCAGCCGCGGUAAUACGUAGGGUGCGAGCGUUGUUCGGAAUUACUGGGCGUAAAGAGCUCGUAGGCGGACUGUCGCGUCGCCUGUGAAAGCCCGUGGCUCAACCACGGGUCUGCAGGCGAUACGGGCAGACUAGAGUACUGCAGGGGAGACUGGAAUUCCUGGUGUAGCGGUGGAAUGCGCAGAUAUCAGGAGGAACACCGGUGGCGAAGGCGGGUCUCUGGGCAGUAACUGACGCUGAGGAGCGAAAGCGUGGGGAGCGAACAGGAUUAGAUACCCUGGUAGUCCACGCUGUAAACGGUGGGCGCUAGGUGUGGGUUUCCUUCCAUGAAAUCCGUGCCGUAGCUAACGCAUUAAGCGCCCCGCCUGGGGAGUACGGCCGCAAGGCUAAAAC